AGUGCCCCCUAUGGGGCGAACAGGCCAGAUGGCUGCACUGGGUGCUGCAGUGAGCCCAUAGAAGGCUUUUUAUUGUUUCCAACAACUUUGGAAGAAUAAUAUCCAGCAUAAUGGAAGGAAUUCCUAGCUGGGUGGUUGAGUUGCAUAGGUGCUCCUCUCGUGAUCUGGGCUUCCCUACAAGAAAUGGCUCAAGGAGUCCUUCAGGCUGCACUAAAUAGUAACUGGAAUCCACACAAAGAAAUAAAGCACACACUAAAGGGGAGACAGACACUGUACCCAAUGGAGCAGCUCAAUGACAAGACAACGUUUCAGCCCUGUUCUCUCUGCCCAAGGGCACACUCAGCUCUGUACCAUCACCAGAGGGACUUCUGCUCUGAAGUGUCAUAUGUCAUCUCUCUCUGGAAGGCACCUUUUCCC
This 417-nucleotide long non-coding RNA is filed under the name Equus asinus (donkey). Its description in RNAcentral is "lncRNA (ENSEASG00005026310.1)". The record is from RNAcentral. Lineage: Eukaryota; Metazoa; Chordata; Mammalia; Perissodactyla; Equidae.